AUGGCAAUACCAUGAGUAGAGUAUACCGUCAGCUUUGCCAUAGAAAGCCAUAGAAAACAUUUCUAGAUACUUACCCACGGCUUUGCCAUAGAAAAGCAUUACCUACUGUAUUAUCGUGGAUAAGGUCAAUUUUAUUUUUUUUCAUUUAUAAACAGCCGGUAGCAAUUGUAUGCUACUAUCACAUAACUUCAUCCAUUUUCACCCAACAAGAUAACCAAUACCAAACAAACAAUAACUAAAUUUAAAACAAAGCAAAUUGAGUUAUAUCAUCAAAAGAUCACUUACUCAAAUUAAAGUGUAGUGUUAACAAAAAUUGACACUAUUACAAUUGUCAAAAUAAACAAAUAAGAUACUUAACAAUUUGGACAAAAUAUGUAGUCAUAACAGUUUUUCCCCUAGAUGAUUGGGCACAUAGCUUAAAACGACUCUUAGGGUCAAUUGUGUUGAUGGUUUGGGAACCCUUACCAUCUGCACCUUCUGAGGCCUGAUGCAACUUAUAUCUUGUUCAACCCAAGAUGAAUCCUAUGCACUGGUUUGAGUUCUUACAAAGACCUCGUCCACUGUGGGUAUUCUACCCAACUCUGAAGCCUUUCAUAAACAUAAAACAAGACAAACUUUAGUUUUGUGCCAAACAUUUCUUACAUAGGAAGAAAACUAGCUUUAUGCUAUUAACCAUUAUUUUAUUAAGAUCAGGCAGAUCAAAAGGAAGAAUUGAGAAGGAAGUAAGAUACAUUGCAUACAUACAAACUCAAAAGCGCCUAAGUCUUGUAUGCUACCUUAUACCAUAAAAAUAAGCAUUGAACUGCUAUUUGUGUUGAAUUUAGAUACAUGUCUGACUACAUACAUGUAAAUUAUGACCACAGGGCAUCAAUAUUAGUGCACUAGAACUAAUCAUCUAUCAAUUUGCAACAUUGAAUCCAAUUUGAUGCAUUGAAAAAGAAAUAGUACAUGAAAAACAAUACAAAAAAUGUAGACAGAUUACUAUAAAGGAAGAAAAACA
Molecule: long non-coding RNA, 1000 nt
Filed under: Trifolium pratense (red clover)
Lineage: Eukaryota; Viridiplantae; Streptophyta; Magnoliopsida; Fabales; Fabaceae
Description: long non-coding RNA (TPRA_LNC001615)
Source: RNAcentral